This is a long non-coding RNA of Mastomys coucha (southern multimammate mouse), 2712 nucleotides long. RefSeq lists it as uncharacterized. The transcript is spliced from 6 exons. Lineage: Eukaryota; Metazoa; Chordata; Mammalia; Rodentia; Muridae. The record is from RefSeq and is a predicted model, not a curated record.
CCUCUAGAAGGCGGACCCUCUGAGUGGCAGUUCUUUCCUAUUUCCCAUGCCCUCUCUGCUCUCCAAGAAGAUGGUCCACUCACUUUCUGCAUCCUGAUCGUGGCCAGCCUUACAGGAGCUAUGGUUUCCCAUGGGGGUUUCCUGACUGGUGGUCUAGUGUGUUGCAGGUCCAGCCCUGACCAGCUCUCAAGAUGGCUGCUGCUCCUCCAGCCAUGAUGUCACCAUGCAAAAGGAAGAAAGCAGAAUCCCCAAAACGGCAUGAAUAGAAUCCACUACUUUUUAUAACUUUUCCUGGAAGCGUUCACCCAGUGACUCAUCUGUUGGCUUCAUCUAUUGGCUACAAUGUAUCACAUGACUUCCUAGCUACAAAGGGAUCUGGGAAGCUUGAACGUCCCAUCUGCCAUCAAACUACAACAAGUAUAAAGAGAGGAGUUGACAAAGCACCCGGGGACAGGGCCCCAUGCCACCCCAAGAUACUACAUUAGGAGGGCACCCACACAGAGAGACCCAGCUGGCCCCCUCGGUCAAUGAACUAAGUGAGUUACUGAACAUUAUAAGUGGUUCUUCAGAUGGUUCUGGACUCUUACUAAGGUCCUGGCACUGUGAACAAGAUAGUCCUGCUACGUUAAACUCCUGACCUUGGAAACCUUGCUGAUGUUGCUGAUGGCCCGCCCUCUCGGAACAGCUCCUCCACGCUGGCAGGUUCCUUCUCCUCCAGGAAGCCCUACGUAAAGCCUCAGACUCCUUGGGACUUCAGACCCCCUUCAUCACAGCCUUUGUACAUGGUGGAUGGUGUCCUGUCACCCUGAUUGCAUGCCUGGCCAGGAGCUGUUCUUCUACCCCAGGGCCCUGCGCCUCACCCAGCCCUCCAGUACUACAGUCACCAAGAGGGCCUAGGAGGAAAAGUCCUUCAAAGGGAGGAACCGACACUUGAGCCCCACAAAGUUGUCCUAACUCUGCUCAGCAUAUGGCACACCACAAGACUUCACUGAAACACAGGACUCCUUGAUACUGACCCAUGGUUGGCUGGAGGGAGAGCCCAGCCUUCUCAGUAAUGCUAACUUCAUCAGCAUCUCUGCGAACCAGUUUCAUCAGCUCACCAAGACACUCGCUGACUCAAUUGAUGAUCCCUCUCCUACUGUACACAUUCUUCUCCCUAGACUCCUCCCUCAUUCUGUCUGAGAUUCACUCAUCCAUCCACCGCCUCCCUCCCACCUUCCUUCCUUCCUUCCAUUCCUUGCUUUGUGGCUGCUCAGGGUGUCGAGAACCUAGAGAACACUGAUACCUAGACUGUGCCCCCACCACCACCACUUUUUCGAUUCCUCUCCUGCUUCUGGCUCCCCGCUGCCCUUUUGAUGGCUUUUUCUCCUCUCUGCUCCCCUCCACAGAGCACAAGAGCUGAUGGUGGCUAGAGGGGAGGCCUUUGCCAGGGGCACUUAGGAGAGGGAAAGGUGCUGAACUGACCUGAUAAAUGAACUAGUGGAGAUGUGUGGCCUGGCUCCCCCACCCCUUUGAUCGAAAGCCGCUGAACCCCUGAUGACAUCCCAUGGCGUAUUCCUCUAUUAAUCAGCAAAGCCUUGACAGAUGUAAGCAAUUUGUCUUUGGAGAGGCCUGGAGGGGGGCGUGUGGGAGCUGAGCUCAGCCAUCAGGAUAGAGAGAUGCGGAGGGGAAGGCCUGAGAUGGGGGCUGCAUACAUGCAUACUAAGAAGGCAGGAGCAGGAGAAACCAGGCAGAUCAGAAAGGGGAGCGUUUUCAUUUCAAAGCAUAUUUCUCCCUUGAUUGAAUGGCCCCCCCAACUACUACCGCCAAACCAAGAUGCUGGAAUCAGGCUGAGAUCCAGGGGUUAAUCCUACCCAGGCCCUGUGGAGCCCAGAAGCAUGACUCAGUGGGCUCAGUGCUCGGUUUCAGGGUGGUGCUCUCAUCCUCAGGACCCCGAGCUUGCCAGGAGCUUCUGGCUGAGGCUGGUACUACACAGCUUGUAGGCACCACACACCUUAAUGAGUCUGCCAUGUGCGCAGAGGCCAGGAGCUGGGCACUGGGGAGUCAUAGGAGAAGCAACAUGAGCUCAGCAAACCCCUGGUCUAUAAGGUAGCUCUGAAACCCCAUCUGAAGUCAUGGAGUACAGGGUUUCUGGACAAGAAGUGACCAAAAAUAAUUUAAAAUCAAAUGCACAACGAAUCAGGCAUUUCUGGCGGUGCUCGCCUAUGUGGUAUCCAUGCCAUGUCACUGGUUCCAAGCACACUAUUUGCCCACCUUGAGCCGUGUAUGCCACCUUGCCAUGAAAUGCUGACAAAUACUGCCUGAAACAGCCUGGCUUAGAUGUGAGACUAGUGUGUGUGUUAUUUCAGAUAUAAAGCUUUCUGUUUUUAUAGAACCAUAGUGGCCUGAUAACCGAAAUGGGCAUUUUAUGCAGGCAUGCAUGUAUGUGUAUGCAGGUGAGUGUGAAAGCAGGUACAGGUACAUGUGGGUAUGUGUGUAGAUGCGUGUAGGAAUAUGUGCAGGUGCACAUGGAUAUGUGUGCAAAUACAUGCGGGUGCAUGUCAAGGCCAGAGGACGACUUCAGUCAGGUGUCAUCCUCAAAACACCAUCCACCUCCUUAGGAGACAGGGUGUAUAUAUUUUUUUAACAACCUACUUUAAUAAGGGUUCAACCUCCCCUUUAGCCCAGCACCCACCAAAAGGUAAUAGAAAAUAAAGGUUAUUAGGAUAUGGA